ACUGUUGGAGAAAAACAAACGCAUGAAAUGAUUUUUGAAUGUCCCAGUAACACGAAUGGGCCUAGUUGUACAAAUACAGAUGUAGCAAUUAAAACGGAUUUGCAGAAGUAUGUUUUAAAAAAUUUUAAUGGCACAAAUGAUACAUAUAAAAUUCGUAAUAUAUUAUAUAGGAAUAAUAUAUUAGAAGAAAACAAUUUAAAUAAAAUAUAUAACAAUAGUAAUGGUUGUUUUGUGUUGAAGAAUGGAAAGGAAAUAUCAAAAAAAAAACGUAUAAACACAAACAAAAGUAAAAUAAGUUAUGCACAUAUAAUAAAAAUAUGGGAGUCCUAUUUAUUUUAUAAAGAGAUGAAUAUCGUUAAAAAAGAAAUAAAAACAGAAAUUUUUUUAAAAAAUAUUUUUUUAACAAUUCCGUUUUUUAGUAGUCAUAACAAUUAUGAUAAUGAUAACAAAAAAUGUAUCAUUAAUAAUAAAAAUUAUAAAAAAGAUUAUGAAUUUUUUGAGGAAAUAUUAACAUGUUUAUUAUUAAAACCGAGUAUAUUUAUAAGUGUACUAAAUAAAUUAUAUUCUUUUUUUUUUGGGGAUUUUUCUUGUUGCUCUGCUUAUGAUAGUAUAACGACUGAUAACAGCGGCAGAACUUUAGUUAAUACAACAUCGUGUUGUCCAAUUUUAUCUACAAGAGAAAAAGAAAAAAAAAAAAAAGCUGAUGUGAAUAGUAUGUAUGUACAUACUUCUUCUGAUGUUCACAACAGUUUAUUUAAUACAAAACAUGGGGAUAGUUAUAAUAGUGUAUUGGGUGAUAUAAAUAAGAGACCUACAACUAGGGAGGUACAUAUAGGAAGUAUUGACAGUGUCACACACUUACCAGAGGAAACAUACGAUGAUAAAAAAGUUCGUAGAUACAUUUUGAAUUAUUUAUUUAAUAUAUAUUAUGAAAAAUAUUUGGGACUAAAAAAUUUGUAUAACACAUUUAAUAUACAUAAUACGUAUAAGUUAAAAUAUUGUAAAGCAGAAAAAAAAUUAUUUAAAUUUAUAUGUUAUGAAAAAGUCGAAUUAGAGAAAAGAAGUAUAUUAUUAAUUAAAAGUAAAAAUGUGAAUGAUGGUUUUUUGUUAGGGGUUGUAAAAAAAUGUGAGCGAGUCGAUGAUUUUUAUUUUAUUUAUUUGGAGUUGAAAAGGUACAGUGGUAAUAGUGGUAAUAGUGGUAAUAGUGGUAAUAGUGUCAGUAGUGUCAGUAAUACAAGUAGUACCAAUAGUACCAAUAGUACCAAUAGUACCAAUAGUACCAAUAGUACCAACAGUAUGGAUAAUAGCGAUAGGCCCUUGGUUUAUGAAGACCUAGACAUAAGCGAAGAUUGCACUGAGGUGUACCUAAACAAUACUAAAAAUAAAAUCAAUUUGUCCUUUUCAGCUACGGAGGAAGGUGUUAAUAGUAAUAAUAUGGAAGGAAAAAAUGAUAGUAACAACAAGUCGGAUAUUCGAAACAAUUGUAACGAAUACGAAGGUGCCACCUUAACUAUUCAUCUAAACACAAUCUCAAAUAGAAUUAAAAAGUCGAUGUUAUAUAUUUUUUCAAAAUAUAAUGAAAAAAUGGAUACAAAUAAGUGUGGUGAUAAUAUAGUAACUGACAUUUUAUUAAACGAAUCGAAUGAUAACAAUAGAAAUGUGCCUAGUUUAAAAAAUAAGAAGCGUUUUGAAGUAUAUAAAAAAUUAAAACAGAAUUACAACAUUUUAGUUAAAG
This is a long non-coding RNA of Piliocolobus tephrosceles (Ugandan red Colobus), 1735 nucleotides long. NCBI's taxonomy places the organism in Eukaryota, Metazoa, Chordata, Mammalia, Primates, Cercopithecidae. The record is from Ensembl.